AGCUGUUUUCUUUUUCUUCCUGUUUUUGCCCUUUUAUCACGGUCCACUGGAGAGGAGUGUCUUGGCCCUGAACUGUUGAAGUUCUGGAAUCAUGAUGGGUGAUCUUAAUUGAUACAGGGUGUCAGAAGUGCUGAACGAGAAGGAAACUGCAGUAAUUUUGAAGUUAACUCCUGUGUUUGCAACUGAAAGCAGAGACAAAGGGAGGCACUAGAGAAAAACAUGGAGCACCAGGCCAGAAGCUUUUGCAAGUAUUUGAGGGAAGAUGUAGACAUAUGUUUGUGGAAGAUUAUCAUUUAGAGAUGCUCCCUCAUAAGGGACAUUAUUAUGAACAUAGGAAUUUGGAGAUGUGCCCUAGAGGCGGGGGGCAUUGGGAAAGCCUCAUAGCUGCAUGCAGCAGUUCACUACAGAAGCUCUCCAGUUUGUUUGAUUAAAUUUGUAUUCCUUUCUCAUUCACUGGUUUGUUAAUGUACC
This is a non-coding RNA of Chrysemys picta bellii (western painted turtle), 471 nucleotides long. The record is from RefSeq and is a predicted model, not a curated record. Lineage: Eukaryota; Metazoa; Chordata; Testudines; Emydidae.